Molecule: unclassified non-coding RNA, 304 nt
Filed under: Hevea brasiliensis (rubber tree)
Lineage: Eukaryota; Viridiplantae; Streptophyta; Magnoliopsida; Malpighiales; Euphorbiaceae
Source: RNAcentral
AAAAAAGAAGGUAAGGCUGGUGGAUAUUCCAAUAGGAAGAGCUCACGAUAUGGUGUUAAUUGUUUACACCCACAAUUCGGUGAACAAAUAAAUUAAAUCCGUAAUUUCUGCUUAAUUAAAGAGAAUGAACAAAUUAAUUCAAUGUCUAAUGUGCAGAACCUAAACAAAAAACAAAUGACAAGUUUAGAAUCAAAGUUAAGCAAAGGUAAUGUUAAUCUGCUCACCAAUUUGUGUUAGCCGUAGUUUGAUUCUUUGCAGGGAAUGUAGUGCUCUUCUGUACUAGAGGUUUCUUGAGUGAUCACAA